Molecule: long non-coding RNA, 479 nt
Filed under: Neogobius melanostomus (round goby)
Lineage: Eukaryota; Metazoa; Chordata; Actinopteri; Gobiiformes; Gobiidae
Description: lncRNA (ENSNMLG00000000090.1)
Source: RNAcentral
AAUCCUGUUUGAAAAAAAAAACGAGUUCACAAUGUUAUAGAGCCAAUCAAUUACAAUAAAAAACAAUAUUAAACUUUUUUUUUUUUUUUUUUUUUUUUGGCGGACACAGUGACGUCACAGCUUGAACUGUCAUGGCGGCGGAAGCUCGGUUUGAGGAAAGCGAAGUUAAACCGUGUGUCGGCGGAGACUCGUCUGUGGGACUCGCAGAGAAGAUGAUGUUUCAGACAGUGACAGCAAACCGUCCACCACUACGACAGAGCGACACAUUUCCAUCCAGAGUCGCAUCGAGGACCUGGAGGCUCUGGUCGACCUGGACGGACCCGGGAAGAAGGCGUGUCCGCUCUGUCCGGAGGAGAAGUUUAAAUCCUCUUACAGCCACAAACUGAGGAGACACCUCCAGAACCUGCACUGGAAGGUCUACAUCGAGUUCCAAGGUCUGUGUGAACAUGUUUCACUUUAAAUAUCCUGGUUUUCACGGC